Molecule: ribosomal RNA, 569 nt
Filed under: uncultured Bacteroidota bacterium
Lineage: Bacteria; Pseudomonadati; Bacteroidota
Description: bacterial SSU rRNA
Rfam family: Bacterial small subunit ribosomal RNA
Source: RNAcentral
UGGCUAAGCGAAAGUGAUAAGUAUCCCACCUGGGGAGUACGUUCGCAAGAAUGAAACUCAAAGGAAUUGACGGGGCCCCCACAAGCGGUGGAGCAUGUGGUUUAAUUCGAUGAUACGCGAGGAACCUUACCAAGGCUUAAAUGUAGUUUGACCGGUUUGGAAACAGAUCUUUCGCAAGACAAAUUACAAGGUGCUGCAUGGUUGUCGUCAGCUUCGUGCCGUGAGGUGUCAGGUUAAGUCCUAUAACGAGCGCAACCCCUGUUGUUAGUUGCCAGCGAGUCAUGUCGGGAACUCUAACAAGACUGCCAGUGUAAACUGUGAGGAAGGUGGGGAUGACGUCAAAUCAUCACGGCCCUUACGCCUUGGGCUACACACGUGCUACAAUGGCCGGUACAGAGAGCAGCCACUGGGUGACCAGGAGCGAAUCUACAAAACCGGUCACAGUUCGGAUCGGAGUCUGCAACUUGACUCCGUGAAGCUGGAAUCGCUAGUAAUCGGAUAUCAGCCAUGAUCCGGUGAAUACGUUCCCGGGCCUUGUACACACCGCCCGUCAAGCCAUGGAAGCUGGG